Molecule: long non-coding RNA, 417 nt
Organism: Pomacea canaliculata
Lineage: Eukaryota; Metazoa; Mollusca; Gastropoda; Architaenioglossa; Ampullariidae
Exons: 3
Source: RefSeq, a predicted model, not a curated record
GAAACUUUGACGGGAAUGGUGUCAAUAAAAGUGGCGUCCAAACUAUUUAAGCGACUGUUUUGAGAGGUUGAACGGCACACACCUUUCCGGUAAGCGAUAAUUCAGUCUUUGAGAACCAUGGUCAACCUGCUUCUUGUCCUCAUGCUACUUAUCGCUCUCGCCACUGCGGGACCACUUUUCGGAGGGUUUCGCCCGUAUGGUGGUGGCUGGUGGGGUGGUGGACGCGGCUGUUACGGCUGCUUCCCUUACUCCGAUGACUUCUUCGACUGAAGGGACAUCAUGAUUGGACACUCUAAGAGGCAGGAAAACACAGAUUUACCCAAGAGAUGACAAUCUGAGUGGAAGACAGCAAACAAGAAACAGACUUUUAUUGCGAUAAUAAUAAACAAUGCGAUAACCUCACAUUUACUUGUGAUA